Long non-coding RNA from Salvia miltiorrhiza (redroot sage), 1650 nucleotides. RefSeq lists it as uncharacterized. NCBI's taxonomy places the organism in Eukaryota, Viridiplantae, Streptophyta, Magnoliopsida, Lamiales, Lamiaceae. The record is from RefSeq and is a predicted model, not a curated record. The transcript has 3 exons.
AAGAAUUGUGGUCAUAGAUGACGCAUUAUAGACAACAUGCAAUGAAAAAUGUCGUCUAUAUGUCAAUAGAUGACACGUUUCGUCUUGCAUGUUGUCUAUAACCGAGAAUUUACACGACAUACGUCAAAAAAUGUUGUCUAUUAUAUGAAUAGACGACGUUAGAUGGACCGCGUCGUCUAUAAUUUGCGGUCAUAGACGAUGCGCCAUCUGCAUGUUGUCUAUUCAUAUAAUAGACGACGCAAUAGACGACGUGCUUGAGCACUGUGUCGUCUAUGUGCAUGGUGAUGCGGUAAUAGACGACAUGCUACGAAGGAUGUCGUCUUUAAUGAAAUAGACGACACGCAUAAUGCACGUCGUGAAUCUGAAAAAUCAAAUUAGGGAUUAGCUUCUUUCCCACUCUCUCGCGCGCCGCUCUCUGAAAAUUUUGGGGCUCUUCUCGUGAGUCUCUGAAAUUUCAAUCCGACGCACCACCGUCCGUCGCACCCACCGGCGCUUCACCCAUCGCAACACCCCACGCCUCACCCCCCUCGUUGAUCGAUUUUGCCGCCCACCUCCACCUCGGCGAAUGGAUUAGGAGAUGCCCUAGCCGCCGCUGUUAAGAGCCACCACCGGAGAGGGGUCGACGUCGCGAAGCCCUUGCCGCCACUCUACCUUCGCCUCGACGAUAUUCUGCCGUCCAUCUCCGCCCCAGAGACGUCCUUAAGCCGCCGGAUUUUAUUCGGAGGGCUGAGCUCCAAGUUUCACCAUUGACGUCUGCACUCUCCGGCCCGCUCAAGCUCGCCCUUCUCCAUUCUUCUCCAAUUUUUGAUCGAUUAUUCCACUCGCCCCGCUCAAGCUUCACUCCGGUGUUGGUGUUUUGUUAAAUUGUGGGAGGAAUUUCAGAAAGUGUUUAUUCAUCCAUUUGGAAGAGAAUCGACAAGAAAGGGAUAAGCUUCAACGGUAAUCAAAAUGGAUAAAGGUUGGAUGUCCAAAAAUAGAUUAUCAAACGAGUACGAAGUAGGGGUGGAGUCUUUCUUGCAGUUUGCCGUUAAAAAUGGGAAAAAUCCCAAUGCUAUGCCUUGUCCUUGUGUCAAGUGUGGCAAUCUACGCGAGAAGGAUGUCAAAACCAUAAGAGCACAUCUCACAUAUAAUGGCAUGGAUUUAACAUACGUUAGUUGGAUUUAUCAUGGGGAGAGAAGUAGACCUAACACAAGCAAUAAAGAAGAAGAAGAGAGCAGUGUGGGUCAUGAUUUUUAUUCGGAUGAGCCAGUAGACAUGGUGCAUGAUGCAUAUGUUGACAAUCCAACUCAUUUUCAUAGACUGCUCGAGGAAGCUGAAAUGCCAUUAUAUUUUGGAUGUGAUGGUUUCACGAAGUUAUCUGCAACAGUUAAGUUGUACAAUUUGAAGGCAAAAUACGGAUGGAGCGAUACUUCAUUUACGGACCUACUUAUGUUGAUAGGAGAAAUGCUUCCGAAGGAUAAUGUAUUGCCUUCAUCUCUGUAUGAGGCAAAAAAAAGCUUAUCCACGUUAGGGAUGAAAUAUGAAAAGAUUCAUGCUUGCCCUGAAGAUUGUAUUUUGUAUCGAAAUGAAUAUGCAAAUUUGGUGAAUUGCCCUACAUGUGGAAAGUCAAGGUGGAAGGUGCUUAAAAAUGACAAGAUUAAUGAAGGGGUU